GUUAUCACCACAAUAACGCAUGAAAAUAAUCAUCAUGCAGGGCAGUGCGAAAAAGAUGUACACUACUAAAUUGCUACAGUUAAAACUGGAGUGUUUGUGAAGCAGAAAGGAAAAACAGGAAUGAUAACCAAACACAAAUUAUCAGACACAAAUGCAGCACCAUGAGUAAUUUUAACAUUUCAACAUUUAAGCAGAGGGUAAUUUUGUAAAAGCUCAUCCUAUCCCAUUCCUUCUUCCUUCUCCCUUUUUCUUCACGUUUUCUCUCUCUCAAACCAGCAAGACUUCACAUCACCGACGACCCCUUCUUCUCCCUCACACCGCCGGAAUCUGUUCGGAUCACUACCGUCCUCACCAACAUCAAAUCAUCACUGAGAAAAUAGAUCUGUUCAAAACUCCGACGAGAACUGAGCUUGGAUCCGUCCUCGCCACCGCAGAUCCGAUCAUAACACGUUUACAGGACUGAAAGAAGAAAAGACGGCAGCAGUGACGACGGCGGUGAUUAGUGAGAGAAGUUACAACGGCGGCGGUGGCUGGAGAACCGGCGUUGAACAUAGAGAAGGAUGGCCGAGAGAGAUGGUGAGAAAAUUUAAAAAAAAAUAAUGAAAAAGAUGUAUAAAACUAGAGUGACAUAUGGCGUCUGUAUUGUGUUUGGUUUUUUGUGUUCAUUUAUCAUUCCUGGAGGAAAAAAACUACUGUGAACUACUGCGCAUUUCAUAGUUAUCAAGGAGGCGUGAAAAUAUUGUAUGUGGCUUUUAUUUCUUUGGCAACAGUUAAGGAGUCGGAAAGGGAAUAGCCAGAAAGUGCUCAAGCACGUCUCAUUUAUACAUGAAAAAAGGAUUAUCUUGUGACCUGCUUUCCAUGGUUGGAAAUUAAAAAAACACGGAUCUAUGGUUUAACCAAAAACACAGUGAAUCAUGCCUGAUGUUCUUGACGUUAAGUUUGUCUGGUAUCAUGCAAUGCCCAUUACUUGCAUUGCAAUAUUACGAAACUAAUUCUGCCAUAUAUCAUUGAUAUCUUGCUCAAUGAUUUUUCUCCACAAUCCUAAUACCUAAUGCGUAAUGUACUUUACUUGAUUCAAAUAUGUUGUUUUUCGCUCUGUACUUUUAGCCAGCAUGUAGAAAGAUA
Molecule: long non-coding RNA, 1125 nt
Filed under: Medicago truncatula (barrel medic)
Lineage: Eukaryota; Viridiplantae; Streptophyta; Magnoliopsida; Fabales; Fabaceae
Description: lncRNA gene6816
Source: RNAcentral